RNAcentral lists this ribosomal RNA (429 nucleotides) under Chloroflexota bacterium. RNAcentral describes it as "Chloroflexi bacterium partial 16S ribosomal RNA". It matches the Rfam family "Bacterial small subunit ribosomal RNA", at positions 355 to 776 of the family's 1533-position model. Lineage: Bacteria; Bacillati; Chloroflexota. The record is from RNAcentral.
UGGGGAAUAUUGCACAAUGGGCGCAAGCCUGAUGCAGCCAUGCCGCGUGUAUGAAGAAGGCCUUCGGGUUGUAAAGUACUUUCAGCGGGGAGGAAGGGAGUAAAGUUAAUACCUUUGCUCAUUGACGUUACCCGCAGAAGAAGCACCGGCUAACUCCGUGCCAGCAGCCGCGGUAAUACGGAGGGUGCAAGCGUUAAUCGGAAUUACUGGGCGUAAAGCGCACGCAGGCGGUUUGUUAAGUCAGAUGUGAAAUCCCCGGGCUCUACCUGGGAAGUGCAUCAGUUACUGGCAAGCUUGGGUCUCGUAGAGGAGGGUAGAAUUCCAGGUGUAGCGGUGAAAUACGUAGAGAUCUGGAGGAAUACCGGUGGCGAAGGCGGCCCCCUGGACGAAGACUGACGCUCAGGUGCGAAAGAGUGGGGAGCAAACAGG